AGGGAAGGCAGACCGGUGACGGCGAGCGAAUCCCAAAAAAAGACGUCUCAGUUCGGAUUGUAGUCUGCAACUCGACUACAUGAAGCCGGAAUCGCUAGUAAUCGCGGAUCAGAAUGCCGCGGUGAAUACGUUCCCGGGUCUUGUACACACCGCCCGUCACACCAUGGGAGUCGGAAAUGCCCGAAGUCAGUGACCCAACCGAGAGGAGGGAGCUGCCGAAGGCAGGUCUGGUAACUGGGGUGAAGUCGUAACAAGGUACC
This 260-nucleotide ribosomal RNA is filed under the name uncultured bacterium. RNAcentral describes it as "partial 16S ribosomal RNA". It matches the Rfam family "Bacterial small subunit ribosomal RNA", at positions 1243 to 1500 of the family's 1533-position model. The record is from RNAcentral.